GUAGUGGGCAGUGCGAGCGGGUUUCGUGUGAAGUCGGUCAGGUUAGAAAUAAAGCAGCCGUAGCAUUGAGUAUUCGGGUUGCACUGUCCACUGGGUU
RNAcentral lists this signal recognition particle RNA (97 nucleotides) under Anaplasma phagocytophilum. RNAcentral's name for it is "signal recognition particle sRNA small type". It matches the Rfam family "Bacterial small signal recognition particle RNA". Rfam says of the family: The signal recognition particle (SRP) is a universally conserved ribonucleoprotein involved in the co-translational targeting of proteins to membranes. Archaeal SRP consists of a 7S RNA and homologues of the eukaryotic SRP19 and SRP54 proteins. In most bacteria, the SRP consists of a 4.5S RNA and the Ffh protein (a homologue of the eukaryotic SRP54 protein). The record is from RNAcentral. Lineage: Bacteria; Pseudomonadati; Pseudomonadota; Alphaproteobacteria; Rickettsiales; Anaplasmataceae.